Molecule: non-coding RNA, 73 nt
Organism: Gymnothorax javanicus (giant moray)
Lineage: Eukaryota; Metazoa; Chordata; Actinopteri; Anguilliformes; Muraenidae
Source: the annotation of a GenBank genome assembly
UGCCGGAUAGCUCACUCGGUAAAGCAUCGCGUUGCGAACUAGAAGUGUCGCGGGUUCGACCCCCGCUUCGUAC